GGCCGGAUAGCUCAGUUGGUAGAGCAGGGGAUUGAAAAUCCCCGUGUCGGCGGUUCGAUUCCGUCUCCGGCCACCA
RNAcentral lists this transfer RNA (76 nucleotides) under Vreelandella subglaciescola. Its description in RNAcentral is "tRNA-Phe". It matches the Rfam family "tRNA". From Rfam's summary of the family: Transfer RNA (tRNA) molecules are approximately 80 nucleotides in length. RNAcentral also lists the same sequence under 10 other names. Lineage: Bacteria; Pseudomonadati; Pseudomonadota; Gammaproteobacteria; Oceanospirillales; Halomonadaceae. The record is from RNAcentral.